RNAcentral lists this small nuclear RNA (93 nucleotides) under Myotis lucifugus (little brown bat). The record is from RNAcentral. Lineage: Eukaryota; Metazoa; Chordata; Mammalia; Chiroptera; Vespertilionidae.
UUGCUUUGGCAGCAUGCAUACUCAAAUUGGAAUAAUACAGGGAAAAUUUGCAUGGCCCUUUAAAAAAAAAAAAAAGAACAAGAGCAUGAUUGU